RNAcentral lists this ribosomal RNA (253 nucleotides) under uncultured bacterium. RNAcentral describes it as "partial 16S ribosomal RNA". It matches the Rfam family "Bacterial small subunit ribosomal RNA", at positions 524 to 776 of the family's 1533-position model. The record is from RNAcentral.
UACGUAGGGCGCAAGCGUUAUCCGGAAUUAUUGGGCGUAAAGAGCUCGUAGGCGGUUUGUCGCGUCUGCCGUGAAAGUCCGGGGCUCAACUCCGGAUCUGCGGUGGGUACGGGCAGACUAGGGUGAUGUAGGGGAGACUGGAAUUCCUGGUGUAGCGGAGAAAUGCGCAGAUAUCAGGAGGAACACCGGUGGCGAAGGCGGGUCUCUGGGCAGUAACUGACGCUGAGGAGCGAAAGCGUGGGGAGCAAACAGG